GACGAACCGUGCAAACGUUGUUCGGAUUCACUGGGCUUAAAGGGCGCGUAGGCGGGUGGUCAAGUCAGAGGUGAAAUCUUUCGGCUCAACCGGAAAAGUGCCUUGGAUACUGGUGAACUCGAGGGAGGUAGGGGCAUGUGGAACUUCCGGUGGAGCGGUGAAAUGCGUUGAUAUCGGAAGGAACGCCGGUGGCGAAAGCGACGUGCUGGCCCUCUUCUGACGCUGAGGCGCGAAAGCUAGGGGAGCAAACGGG
Molecule: ribosomal RNA, 253 nt
Filed under: uncultured bacterium
Lineage: Bacteria
Description: partial 16S ribosomal RNA
Rfam family: Bacterial small subunit ribosomal RNA
Source: RNAcentral